RNAcentral lists this ribosomal RNA (839 nucleotides) under uncultured bacterium. RNAcentral's name for it is "bacterial SSU rRNA". It matches the Rfam family "Bacterial small subunit ribosomal RNA", at positions 28 to 896 of the family's 1533-position model. The record is from RNAcentral.
GAUGAACGCUGGCGGCGUGCCUAACACAUGCAAGUCGAGCGAUUCUCUUCGGAGAAGAGCGGCGGACGGGUGAGUAACGCGUGGGUAACCUGCCUCAUACACAUGGAUAACAUACCGAAAGGUAUGCUAAUACAGGAUAAUAUAAGAGAUUCGCAUGGAUUUCUUAUCAAAGCUCCGGCGGUAUGAGAUGGACCCGCGUCUGAUUAGCUAGUUGGUAAGGUAAUGGCUUACCAAGGCGACGAUCAGUAGCCGACCUGAGAGGGUGAUCGGCCACAUUGGAACUGAGACACGGUCCAAACUCCUACGGGAGGCAGCAGUGGGGAAUAUUGCACAAUGGGCGAAAGCCUGAUGCAGCAACGCCGCGUGAGUGAUGAAGGCCUUCGGGUCGUAAAACUCUGUCCUCAAGGAAGAUAAUGACGGUACUUGAGGAGGAAGCCCCGGCUAACUACGUGCCAGCAGCCGCGGUAAUACGUAGGGGGCUAGCGUUAUCCGGAUUUACUGGGCGUAAAGGGUGCGUAGGUGGUUUCUUAAGUCAGGAGUGAAAGGCUACGGCUCAACCGUAGUAAGCUCUUGAAACUGGGAAACUUGAGUGCAGGAGAGGAAAGUGGAAUUCCUAGUGUAGCGGUGAAAUGCGUAGAUAUUAGGAGGAACACCAGUAGCGAAGGCGGCUUUCUGGACUGUAACUGACACUGAGGCACGAAAGCGUGGGGAGCAAACAGGAUUAGAUACCCUGGUAGUCCACGCCGUAAACGAUGAGUACUAGGUGUCGGGGGUUACCCCCCUCGGUGCCGCAGCUAACGCAUUAAGUACUCCGCCUGGGGAGUACGCUCGCAAGAGUG